Molecule: long non-coding RNA, 802 nt
Organism: Drosophila miranda
Lineage: Eukaryota; Metazoa; Arthropoda; Insecta; Diptera; Drosophilidae
Exons: 5
Source: RefSeq, a predicted model, not a curated record
UAACAGCUGCUUGUAGCAGAGAAAACAUCUACUUUUGUUCGGGAAAAAAAAAUUCAAAAUUUGUAAACCGUAAAGAAAAAUCGUUUUUGGAAAAAAAUUUCGAUAAAAGUGAAUAAAAUUCAAAGUUAAAUAUAAAUUUUUCGUUGUUGGAAAUACUUGUAAAUUUCCUUUCAUAGUGCGCAUACAAACCUAUCGUUUGCUUCUAGUGUACUCUCGUACUUACAUAUAUCAAGGAUAUUUAUUAUUUUACUACAUGAGUGCAACGCUUGUGUAUGUUUCCAGGCUCCUGCUGCAUUUCGAUUGACAUUAUACACAACAGAUUGACAAACGAGAUAACGUAACGAAAUUUCCAAAUGGUAACGAAAUUUUCUAAAUUUGUCUGUCAUUAUGGAUGAUCAAGUCCCCAACGCAACAUUUGUUUACAUUUUUAAUAAUCUUUAAUACUGACACCAGGCGUACACACUUUGUAUGAGUCUUUGCAGUGCAGCUUACAUUCAACUAGACAACGACUACCUUUACUUCAAUACUGUUCCAAAUUGCGGCGGUCAUUGUUGAUGCCUAAUCUUUAGAUAUAUUUGAAUGCGGCGAUUUUUAUUUACUGUCCUGCAGCCCCUGCCUUCUAACAAAUAACUAAUGAACACUGUUAGUUCGGUGUGGUACCGGUGCUUUAUACAAGGGACGAGCUAAUUGCACCCGCAAUGUUUCUUUCGUUUUUGUUUUGUUUCAAAACAAGGAAUACCGCUAAUACAAAUAUUCCACAUACACCGCAAGUGCCAUGAACAAUAAAUAAUAUAUGUUAUAA